CCAGAAAAAAGAGAUUCUAACUCUUACCUCUAACUCCCAAAGCCAGA
This 47-nucleotide transfer RNA is filed under the name Brachyplatystoma capapretum (black piraiba). RNAcentral's name for it is "partial tRNA-Pro". The record is from RNAcentral. Lineage: Eukaryota; Metazoa; Chordata; Actinopteri; Siluriformes; Pimelodidae.